This 3217-nucleotide long non-coding RNA is filed under the name Lathyrus oleraceus (garden pea). Lineage: Eukaryota; Viridiplantae; Streptophyta; Magnoliopsida; Fabales; Fabaceae. The record is from RNAcentral.
AAAAAAAAUUAAUUAAUCAUUUUAGAAUGAAGGAGUUGCUAUGCUUAGUGUGUGACUCGUUGGUUUUUUUUUAUAGUGGUUAAAUUUCUACAAAAAUUCGUAGAAUUUAUUAUUAUAAAAAACCUACUCAUCGCUUCCCAUUAUCUGGAGAUAAAGAACCGCCUAAAAUCUAAAAUCAAAAUAAGGAUGUGGUCAUAUAAUUAUAGCAACUGAAAUAAAAAAAUCAGAUUAUUAGUCGUAAAGCAAUAAGAAUAUACAGAUAAAUGAAGGGGUGAAAGAAAGAUAGAAAAAGGAUAUCAAUGAUAUAGAAUUCUACUAUGUAAAGGUCUAUGGGUCAUCUCAUAAAAAGGUAGUGUAAUAAAGCAUUAAAUUUCUACAAAAAUUCGUAGAAUUAAUUAUUAUAAAAAACCUACUCAUCGCUUCCCAUUAUCUGGAGAUAAAGAACCGCCUAAAAUCUAAAAUCAAAAUAAGGAUGUGGUCAUAUAAUUAUAGUAACUGAAAUAAAAAAAUCAGAUUAUUAGUUGUAAAGCAAUAAGAAUAUACAGAUAAAUGAAGGGGUGAAAGAAAGAUAGAAAAAGGAUAUCAAUGAUAUAGAAUUCUACUAUGUAAAGGUCUAUGGGUUAUCUCAUAAAAAGGUAGUGUAAUAAAGCAUCAAUAUUCAAAAUUCAUCCAUAUAUGGUUGAAUAUAUUCCUAGAAUAAACGAAUCAAGAGCCACGAAUCAAGAAAACUGAGAAGGUUGAUUCAACAAAAAUGAAUCAAAUAAGAAAAUGUUAAAAAAUAAAAAAUUAUCUUAUUAAUAUUCAAGAGGCUCCAUUGUAGAAUUUAGACCUAACCAUAAAUAGAAAAGCGAUGGGAACGACGGAACCUGUGAAUACAAAAGACUCCAUUGUAGAAUUUAGACCUAACCAUAAAUAGAAAAGCGAUGGGAACGACGGAACCUGUGAAUACAAAAGAUUCUAUUAAAAUUAGAAAUCUUACUUACUGAUUCAUUAGAUGGGAUGGCGGAAGCAACUAAGAAUUCAUUGUUUUUGGAGGAGUUGUGGACUAACUCAACAUUACAUCUUCAAUUUAUAAUCAGAGAGUCAAUAUUCGCCCGCGAAAAUGUGGAUUUUUCGGAAUUUAGAAAUUUUUGCCAAUCCAAUUUGAUAAUAAUAAAAAAAAAAAAGACAAAUACGGAUUUGUUAGAACCUUAAUAUCCAAAAAUAUUAGCUAGUUUAGAUACAGAUAGAAAAAAUGGUCUAUAAGAAUACAUAUUUCGUUAUAUAUCAAAGCGAGAUUCAAAAAUUUCUAAUAGAUCCAUAGAUUCUAUGUCAAAAAAUCCCGCGAUUAUAUUCUAUUUCAUUUUCUAUUUUAUUAAACAUAUGUAUCUUAUUGUAUAUUAUUUUAAUUAUUAUUAUUUUUUUGAUCGGUUCAAUAUUUUUCAAUUGAUUUAUUUGCGAGGAGCCGUAUGAGGUGAAAAUCUCAUGUACGGUUCUGUAAUAGAGAUGGAAUUGAGAAAUAACCAUCAACUAUAACCCAAAAAGAACGAGAUUCCGCAAACAUCAUAGAGGAAGAAUGAAAGGAAAAGCCUCUCGCGGUAAUAAAAUUUGCUUUGGAAAAUAUGCUCUUCAGGCACUUGAGCCCGCUUGGAUCACAUCUAGACAACUAGAAGCGGGUCGACGGGCAAUGUCACGAAAUGUUCGCCGGGGUGGACAAAUAUGGGUACGCAUAUUUCCAGACAAACCUGCUACAGUAAGACCUACCGAAACGCGUAUGGGUUCGGGAAAAGGAUCGCCCGAAUAUUGGGUAGCUGUCGUUAAACCCGGCAAAAUACUUUAUGAAAUGGGAGGGGUCCCAGAAAAUAUCGCUAGAAAGGUAAUUUCAAUAGCGGCAUCCAAAAUGCCUAUACGAACUCAAUUCAUUCUUUCCAAAUAAUCAUUAGAACGAAAGAGGUCUUUAGUAUGAAAAAAGGCAAUUCUCCGUUUCUUUUUUUUUUUUGAACACAAAUCCAAAAUGCCUAUACGAACUCAAUUCAUUCUUUCCAAAUAAUCAUUAGAACGAAAGAGGUCUUUAGUAUGAAAAAAGGCAAUUCUCCGUUUCUUUUUUUUUUUUUGAACACAUAAUAUUUUUUUUUACUUCAACUUUUUGACUCAAAGAUAAGAAAAAAGGAUAUGAUUCAACCUCAAACCUAUUUAAAUGUAGCCGAUAAUAGUGGAGCGCGCGAAUUGAUGUGUAUUCGAAUCAUAGGAGCUAGUAAUUGACGGUAUGCUUAUAUUGGUGACAUUGUUGUUGCUGUAAUCAAAAAAGCAGUGCCAAAUUCAUCUUUAGAAAGAUCUCAAGUCAUCAGAGCUGUAAUUGUACGUACUUGUAAAGAACUAAAACGUCGUAACGGUAUAAUAAUAAAGUAUGAUGAUAAUGCAGCGGUUCUCAUUGAUAAAGAAGGAAAUCCAAAAGGAACUCGAAUUUUUUCCGCAAUAGCCCGAGAAUUGAGACAGUUAAAUUUCACGAAAAUUAGUUUCAUUAGCACCCGAGGUAUUAUAAUCAGAGAUCAUGAUAUAGAUAUAUUAUCAUAACUUGAAUGAAUAGGAAGGAAAUAGAUUAGAAUAGGAAUGAAAUAUAUAUUCUAUUUCAAUAUAUUCAAAAUAAAAAUUCGAAUUCUAUUUGUAUAAAAAAAAAAAUAGAAUUCGAAUUCAAUAUAAGAUUAUUUAUAUAGUUUCGAAUAGGUCAUUCGUUCAUUUUCUUUCUAUCUUUUUUUUUAGUUUUAGAAUAUUCUAUAUUCUAUAUUGAGAUUGUCGUAAUGACAAUCAGAUUUUCUAUACAUAUAGAAAGUAUUAUUCUAUUCUCAUAUUCAAUAUUAGAUAUUUUAUUGAAUCAAAAAAUAAAAAAUCAAAAAACGGGAGCACGUUGAUUAUAUGGAAAGGAAGGAGUAAAAAUCGAUUGUGGGUAAAGAUACUAUCGCUGAUAUACUAACCUUGAUACGCAAUGCUGACAUGAAUAGAAAAAGAACUGUUCAAAUACCACUUACUAAUAUCACCGAAAACAUUGUAAAAAUUCUUUUACGAGAGGGUCUUGUUGAAAACGUCAGAAAACAUCGAGAAAGCAACAAAUACUUUUUAGUUUUAACUCUACGGUAUAGAAGAAAUAGGAAAGGAUCAUAUAAAAGUUUUUUAAAUUUAAAAAGGAUUAGUACACCUGGUCUACGAAUCUAUUCUAACUAUCCCAAAAUUCCGAAAGUUU